RNAcentral lists this ribosomal RNA (253 nucleotides) under uncultured bacterium. RNAcentral describes it as "partial 16S ribosomal RNA". It matches the Rfam family "Bacterial small subunit ribosomal RNA", at positions 524 to 776 of the family's 1533-position model. The record is from RNAcentral.
UACGGGGGGGGCAAGCGUUGUUCGGAAUUACUGGGCGUAAAGGGCUCGUAGGUGGCCAACUAAGUCAGACGUGAAAUCCCUCGGCUUAACCGGGGAACUGCGUCUGAUACUGGAUGGCUAGAGUUUGGGAGAGGGAUGCGGAAUUCCAGGUGUAGCGGUGAAAUGCGCAGAUAUCAGGAAGAACACCCGUGGCUAAGGCGGCUCUCUAGUACGGUACUGACGCUGAGACGCGAAAGCGUGGGGAGCGAACAGG